UGUUAAAAAAUUAUCUAUUUUUAUUGUUAAAAACCGGUGUAGCUAAUAGAAUAACCAAACAAUUACUUGUGAUGUACUACAUGUACCUCAUUUUAACAAUAGAAAUAGAUGAAACUUUUAAAUA
Gossypium arboreum is the source of this 124-nucleotide microRNA precursor. It matches the Rfam family "MIR7502 microRNA precursor family". The record is from Rfam. Lineage: Eukaryota; Viridiplantae; Streptophyta; Magnoliopsida; Malvales; Malvaceae.